CCCUGCAUUGGUAAGUGAUCACAGACUGCUCGUGUCCUGGUCAUUGGUAGUGCAGACAGAGGAAAUGGGAAAGGGUUGCCCAAUGUUUGGAGGGUCCAUGUAUUUGCCUUUCAGUUCUGAGAGCUUUCCCACA
Tupaia belangeri (northern tree shrew) is the source of this 133-nucleotide small nucleolar RNA. Its record names the gene SNORA71. It matches the Rfam family "Small nucleolar RNA SNORA71". From Rfam's summary of the family: The members of this family belong to the H/ACA class of snoRNAs which bind a number of proteins (including dyskerin, Gar1p and Nop10p) to form snoRNP complexes. This class of snoRNAs are thought to guide the sites of modification of uridines to pseudouridines by forming direct base pairing interactions with substrate RNAs. Lineage: Eukaryota; Metazoa; Chordata; Mammalia; Scandentia; Tupaiidae. The record is from Ensembl.